GAUGAACGCUGGCGGCGUGCCUAAUACAUGCAAGUCGAGCGAACAGACGAGGAGCUUGCUCCUCUGACGUUAGCGGCGGACGGGUGAGUAACACGUGGAUAACCUACCUAUAAGACUGGGAUAACUUCGGGACACCGGAGCUAAUACCGGAUAAUAUAUUGCACCGCAUGGUUCAAUGGUGAAAGACGGUUUUGCGGUCUCUUCUAGAGGGAUCCGCGCCGCAUUGUCUAGUUGGUAAGGUAACGGCUUACCAAGGCAACGAUGCGUAGCCGACCUGAGAGGGUGAUCGGCCACACUGGAACUGAGACACGGUCCAGACUCCUACGGGAGGCAGCAGUAGGGAAUCUUCCGCAAAGGGCGAAAGCUUGACGGAGCAACGCCGCGUGAGUGAUGAAGGUCUUCGGAUCGUAAAACUCUGUUAUUAGGGAAGAACAAAUGUGUAAGUAACUAUGCACGUCUUGACGGUACCUAAUCAGAAAGCCACGGCUAACUACGUG
Molecule: ribosomal RNA, 497 nt
Filed under: uncultured bacterium
Lineage: Bacteria
Description: partial 16S ribosomal RNA
Rfam family: Bacterial small subunit ribosomal RNA
Source: RNAcentral